RNAcentral lists this ribosomal RNA (253 nucleotides) under uncultured bacterium. RNAcentral describes it as "partial 16S ribosomal RNA". It matches the Rfam family "Bacterial small subunit ribosomal RNA", at positions 524 to 776 of the family's 1533-position model. The record is from RNAcentral.
GACGUAGGAGGCAAGCGUUGUUCGGAAUUACUGGGCGUAAAGCGUCCGUAGGCGGAUCUGUAAGUGGAUAGUUAAAUCCCGGGGCUCAACCCCGUGGGUGCUACCCAGACUGCAGGUCUGGAGGUCGGCAGAGGGUGAUGGAAUUCCCGGUGUAGUGGUGAAAUGCGUAGAUAUCGGGAGGAACACCAGUGGCGAAGGCGACUUCCUGGCCUGUUCUUGACGCUGAGGCGCGAAAGCUAGGGGAGCAAACGGG